CUUCUUGCCAGAAUGUAAGCUCCAUGAGGGCAGAGACUUUCUUGCUCACUGUAGUGUUCUGGUUCAUAUCUCUGACUCAGUGCCUGGCACAUAAUGGUGAGUGCUGAUCUGCAUAGCAAAGGGCAUUUUCCCAGCAACUGGUGAAACCAUCUAACCAAGAGUACAUGACCAGAUAAAUCUAACCUGAGGCUUAUGUGUGGAUUUGUUCACUUAGUCUGUGUUACAGUCAUUUUUUUAAAGAAGAAAUAUGUAAGAACAAAGCUUGUGCUAUUCCUUCAACUAGGGGUUUUAUUUGUCUCAUAAUAAAAUUGAUGUUACCGUA
This is a long non-coding RNA of Herpailurus yagouaroundi (jaguarundi), 322 nucleotides long. RefSeq lists it as uncharacterized. The record is from RefSeq and is a predicted model, not a curated record. NCBI's taxonomy places the organism in Eukaryota, Metazoa, Chordata, Mammalia, Carnivora, Felidae. The transcript is spliced from 2 exons.